This 464-nucleotide ribosomal RNA is filed under the name uncultured Verrucomicrobiota bacterium. RNAcentral's name for it is "uncultured Verrucomicrobia bacterium partial 16S ribosomal RNA". Lineage: Bacteria; Pseudomonadati; Verrucomicrobiota. The record is from RNAcentral.
GACUACUGGGGUAUCUAAUCCCGUUUGCUCCCCUGGCUUUCGUGCCUCAGCGUCAGAUGCCGCCCAGAGAUUCGCUUUCGCCACUGAUGUUCCUCUCGAUAUCUACGCAUUUCACUGCUACACCGAGAAUUCCAAUCUCCUCUGCGACCCUCUAGCAGGGAAGUAUUCAGGGCAGUUUCCAAGUUGAGCCUGGAGAUUUCACCCCGAACUUUCCCUGCCGCCUACGCACCCUUUACGCCCAGUAAAUCCGAACAACGCUUGGGACCUCUGUAUUACCGCGGCUGCUGGCACAGAGUUAGCCGUCCCUUCCUCUUCCGCUACUAUCAAGUCGCAACGUGUUAGGUUACAACAAUUAUUCGCGAAUGACAGGGGUUUACGAGCCGAAGCCCUUCAUCCCCCACGCGGCGUCGCUCCAUCAGGGUUUCCCCCAUUGUGAAAAAUUCUCGACUGCUGCCCCCCGUAGG